AGUGAACGCUGGCGGUAGGCCUAACACAUGCAAGUCGAACGGCAGCACAGUAAGAGCUUGCUCUUACGGGUGGCGAGUGGCGGACGGGUGAGGAAUACAUCGGAAUCUACUUUUUCGUGGGGGAUAACGUAGGGAAACUUACGCUAAUACCGCAUACGACCUACGGGUGAAAGCAGGGGAUCUUCGGACCUUGCGCGAUUGAAUGAGCCGAUGUCGGAUUAGCUAGUUGGCGGGGUAAAGGCCCACCAAGGCGACGAUCCGUAGCUGGUCUGAGAGGAUGAUCAGCCACACUGGAACUGAGACACGGUCCAGACUCCUACGGGAGGCAGCAGUGGGGAAUAUUGAACAAUGGGCGCAAGCCUGAUUCAGCCAUACCGCGUGGGUGAAGAAGGCCUUCGGGUUGUAAAGCCCUUUUGUUGGGAAAGAAAAGCAGCAGGUUAAUACCCCGCUGUUCUGACGGUACCCAAAGAAUAAGCACCGGCUAACUUCGUG
Molecule: ribosomal RNA, 492 nt
Filed under: uncultured bacterium
Lineage: Bacteria
Description: partial 16S ribosomal RNA
Rfam family: Bacterial small subunit ribosomal RNA
Source: RNAcentral